GCCCAGAAAGUUUAAAUACAACAAUACAACGAUAUAUCAUGAUUGAAGAGUAUGAAUAAUAAGCUGGCUAUAAUUCAUCAAUAUAAUUGAGAACUAGCAGGAACAAACUUUUGACUGAACAAGUUUUAAACAUGAACAAACAUUUCUGAACCAACUAGUAAUGAAGGUGAUCAGCCUUUCAUACCUGACUUAUACAUGCAAGAUGUACAGAGUACAAUUUUCAUGGCAAUCAACAAUGAUUAACCAUAAGCUUGAAUAAAACACUCUUAUUAGAGUUAAGUAAAGAACAAACUUGCUUGAACCGUUGAUUACCGCGAUGCAAUUUAUAACGCUUUACCCGAAGACCUAAUAUUAAUAAUAUAGAUCUCCAAUAUUAGAAUCACAGUAUAAU
Molecule: long non-coding RNA, 391 nt
Filed under: Panax ginseng (ginseng)
Lineage: Eukaryota; Viridiplantae; Streptophyta; Magnoliopsida; Apiales; Araliaceae
Description: long non-coding RNA (PGIN_LNC006261)
Source: RNAcentral